RNAcentral lists this ribosomal RNA (443 nucleotides) under uncultured bacterium. Its description in RNAcentral is "partial 16S ribosomal RNA". It matches the Rfam family "Bacterial small subunit ribosomal RNA", at positions 338 to 795 of the family's 1533-position model. The record is from RNAcentral.
CCUACGGGUGGCAGCAGUGGGGAAGAUUGCACAAGGGGCGAAAGCCUGAUGCAGGAACGCCGCGUGAAGGAAGAAGGGUUUCGGCUCGUAAACUUCGAUCAACAGGGACGAAAGAAAUGACGGUACCUGAAUAAGAAGCCAGGGCUACCGACGAGCCAGCAGCCGCGGGAAUACGUAGGGGGCAAGCGGGAUCCGGAAUUACUGGGGGGAAAGGGGGCGCAGACGGCAAUGCAAGCCAGGAGGGAAAGCCCGGGGCCCAACCCCGGGACUGCUCUUGGAACUGCAGGGCUGGAGUACCGGAGGGGCAGGCGGAAUUCCUAGUGUAGCGGUGAAAUGCGUAGAUAUUAGGCGGAACCCCGGUGGCGACGGCGGCCUGCUGGACUGUGCCUGACGUUGAGGCCCGAAUGCGUGGGGAGCAAACAGGAUUAGAUACCCGAGUAGUC